AUGGCGUCUUACGGCCGGAGCGAGUCUCCGCCUCGGGGGUCGUGGGGCUACGGCGACCACGACAUCGACGCCCGUCCCCGGCGCAAGCGGUCCUUCCCGGAAGAGGAGGAGGAGGAAGUCGGGUGGGGAGGGGUUGGGCCCCCCACCUGGAGGCCCUCGGAGAGAAGGGCGUCGCGGGAAAGGCCCCGGGCGACCUCCGGGCGGGACGGGAGGACGGGCCGGGGAGGGCCUUGGCCGGAAAGUAGGGGGGUGGAAGAGAGGGAGGGGGGAAAGGAGGUGGAGGUCCGAGGAGGGGGCAGGUCCCGGUCCCCUUGGGGGGGGCCUCGGAGGGAGCCCCUCCCCGCUCGGGAGGGCGGGAUGGGACCCUGGGAGCCCCCCCAAGGGAGGGCCCGGAGCAGGAGCCCCCCUCGGGGGUCAGACUCCGGCUGGAGAGGCCCUUCCCCUAGCGGCACCCGGGAGAGGGCGUGGCGCAGCCCCGCCGCCUCCUCCAGGAGCAGCCUCCUCUUCCCCGUCUCAGGAAGGGGGGAGGCGGAGAGAAGCAGCAGGUGGGGGGCCAGCCCCGGGAGGGAGGGGGGGGCCUGGGCCAAAGGGCAGCCGAGGAGCUGCCAGGAGGAGGAGGAAGGGCGGCAGUGGCAGCAUCAGAAACAGCAGCAGCAGAAGCAGCAGCAUCUCUCCAGUGGAAGGAUGAUGGGCGGACGCCACGUGGAGAGGUCCAGCAGCAGCACCAGCAGCUUCCGGAGCAGGGGAGCCCCAGGGGGGGAGGCGAGACAGGAUCGGGGCCAGGAGUGGAGCUACCUUGAGAAGGACCAGCACCCGAGGAGGAGGGGUGGAAGCGCAGAGAGGCGGAGGGCUCCUGAGGGAAGUCAAGGAGGUUUCCCCACCUUUCCUGGAGAGGAAGGGAGUUGGCGCAAUCCCAGCAGAGAAAGGGGCCAAGGGGGUCCUGCUGGAGUCCGACGGCCCUGGGGAAGCCACGCGCAGGCAGAGGUCCUGGAGGAUCCUGCCAGCUCCAGCCUCCCAAGCCAGCUGGGUUGGGACCAGGGCGAAAGCACAUGGGACAGCCCAGAGCGGAGAGGAAAGGAGCCUGAGAGCUGGACUGGAGGCGAACGCCUUGGGAUGCCUCCAAACCCCGACGAAGACCUGGAAGACUCAGAGGGUCCCUCCAGUUUCCGAGAAGAAUGGAGCCCCAAGGAAGGCCGGACCAUUACAGAGAGCUUCCCAGGAGAAUUGGGUGGCCGUCGGGAUCAUCCCAAAAUUGCCCCUGUCUCUUGGGUCCCGCGGGAGGAGGUGGUGGAUUUCUGGAACCAAUGCCAGUCUAUUUUGAAGAAGAGGGUGAGGGAAUACCUCCUGUCCACCUGUCCAAGGCCUGCCUUGCCAGACCGGUCCUCGGAGACCCCUGAACUGAACACCAACCUCCUCAGCUUGCUGAAUGCGAAACAAGUAAAAACCAUUUCCCGCGCCACUUCUCAGAUCCGCUUUAUCCAGGACGAGGUGCUGAACAUGUUGGCGCCCGCCAUGACCAUCUACGAGAUGGCCGAGGAAGCUGUCGAGAAGGGGGAGGCGGUGGAUCCGCUGGAGCUGCGCGAGUGGAUUCGGCGCGUCAUCCGCUACAUCGGGAGCAUCAACCAGAGGCUGCUGGUUCUGCGCCGCUCAGAGGUCCUCGCGACCAUCAACCCCCGCCUCAGGAGUGUGUCAACGGAAAUGACUGGGCGCAGUGCCGGCGGAAUGCUCUUUCCAGAAGACAAAGUGAAACUUCUGAAGGAGAUCAUCCGGAAGUUCCCACAGUUGGCCCAAGGACCGAGCCUGAAUCCCAAAAACCUCCAUCCAGGCCCCAGACCUAACUACGUGCGUCGGAAACCACGCCUUUCCAAGUUGGGCCCUCGCCUCCAGGAUGGUGGUGGUCAGCACAUGUCAGCCAGCUGGCGAGAAGACCACGACUGAGGAAGGAAAGGCUGCCUUCCGGCUGCACUCUUCCCGGGACCCCAGGAGGUGCACGAUGGCCAUGGUGGCCUCACUCCUGACUUCUGUGUCUGCUACUGGAUCUUAACGGCCUUCUUGUUGUUAAACGGAUCAUGGCCUUGGGAGGACCCUGCAUGCCGUCGUUCUUUUGGCUACUGGGGUGCUCCCAUCUCACCCGUGUCGUCUUUGCCCGUUGGAGAAGCCGGAAGAGAACCUGCUGAAAACAACAGAGACAUCUUAUUUUGGGGGGUGCCGAUGGGUUCCUUCUUCAUCCACCUCACUUUCUCCCCGAGGCAACGUCUCCUGCCUCCAGGGACUUUUUGAUCUCCAGCGAUGGCUCUUUGGGCAAGUAUGGGCCACCCCUUUCCUCCCGACACCUGUGAGCCGGUGGCUUAACGAGGCCCGCGAAGUGCCGUUGUUCAAAGGAUGUUUGGCAGGAUGGGAAGCCCAGCGUGUUCGUGGACCGACCUCCUUUUUCUGUCCCUUUCCACUCUCCCUACUCACCGCUUCAUCUUCUGUUUCAUAGUGACCGUUCAAUAAAGGUUGUUUAGGUGUUAUUAUCUUUCUGUCU
This 2527-nucleotide long non-coding RNA is filed under the name Pogona vitticeps (central bearded dragon). RNAcentral describes it as "lncRNA (ENSPVIG00000017766.1)". The record is from RNAcentral. Lineage: Eukaryota; Metazoa; Chordata; Lepidosauria; Squamata; Agamidae.